UAGGGCCUCUGUUGAUGCAACCACUC
RNAcentral lists this non-coding RNA (26 nucleotides) under Mus musculus (house mouse). The record is from RNAcentral. Lineage: Eukaryota; Metazoa; Chordata; Mammalia; Rodentia; Muridae.